CAGCAGCCGCGGUAAUACAGAGGGUGCGAGCGUUAAUCGGAUUUACUGGGCGUAAAGCGUGCGUAGGCGGCUUCUUAAGUCGGAUGUGAAAUCCCUGAGCUUAACUUAGGAAUUGCAUUCGAUACUGGGAAGCUAGAGUAUGGGAAAGGAUGGUAGAAUUCCAGGUGUAGCGGUGAAAUGCGUAGAGAUCUGGAGGAAUACCGAUGGCGAAGGCAGCCAUCUGGCCUAAUACUGACGCUGAGGUACGAAAGCAUGGGGAGCAAACAGGAUUAGAUACCCGGGUAGUCCCUGUCUCUUAUAC
This 301-nucleotide ribosomal RNA is filed under the name uncultured bacterium. Its description in RNAcentral is "partial 16S ribosomal RNA". It matches the Rfam family "Bacterial small subunit ribosomal RNA", at positions 509 to 807 of the family's 1533-position model. The record is from RNAcentral.